RNAcentral lists this ribosomal RNA (448 nucleotides) under uncultured bacterium. RNAcentral describes it as "bacterial SSU rRNA". It matches the Rfam family "Bacterial small subunit ribosomal RNA", at positions 355 to 796 of the family's 1533-position model. The record is from RNAcentral.
UGGGGAAUCUUGCGCAAUGGGCGGAAGCCUGACGCAGCAACGCCGCGUGCGGGAGGAAGGCCUUCGUGGUUGUAAACCGCUUUCAGCAGGGACGAAGCUUCCGAGGUUAAUAGCCUACGGGGUGACGGUACCUGCAGAAGAAGCCCCGGCUAACUACGUGCCAGCAGCCGCGGUAAUACGUAGGGGGCGAGCGUUGUCCGGAUUUAUUGGGCGUAAAGAGCGUGUAGGUGGCUAGGUAGGUCUCGCGUCAAAACCUGCGGCUCAACCGCAGUUCGCGUGGGAAACCACCUGGCUUGAGUCCGGAAGAGGAGAGCGGAAUUCAUGGUGUAGCGGUGAAAUGCGCAGAUAUCAUGAAGAACACCAGUGGCGAAGGCGGCUCUCUGGGACGGUACUGACACUGAGACGCGAAAGCGUGGGGAGCGAACAGGAUUAGAUACCCCCGUAGUCC